Molecule: small nuclear RNA, 107 nt
Filed under: Colobus angolensis palliatus
Lineage: Eukaryota; Metazoa; Chordata; Mammalia; Primates; Cercopithecidae
Source: RNAcentral
GUGCUCACUUCGGCAGCACGUGUACUACAAUUGGAACAAUACAGAGAAGAUUAGCAUGGCCCCUGCGCAAGGAUGGCAUGCAAAUUCAUGAAGCGGUCCAUGCUAAA